UUCCGUGUAAUGUCCAAAACUAUGGUCUGCACCCAUCUCUCAGCAAUAUCUCACAAACAUCAGCACCACCACACUCGUUUAACGUGAAAGCAGAAAGUAAAACUUCAGCAGCGUCUGUGUAGAUGAGAGAAGAAGGAGAAGAACGUUUGGAUAAAAAGCACAGAGAAGAAGAACUGAGAUGUUCUUGUGCAGCACAGUCAGAAGAUAAACUGAGGUGAAGACUUUGUAUUAGGUGUAAUCUGAAGGAGAAGUUGAGCUCCAGAAUGAGUGUCUCUGGGGAACAGGACACACAGGAAGCUGAGAGACUGUUUCAGGGUAAGAGAUCUGACUCUCCUGAACCCAGCUGUGUGUCCAUGAAGAGUGAUCGGUCAGUGAGCAGAAUAAUAAUC
Astyanax mexicanus (Mexican tetra) is the source of this 389-nucleotide long non-coding RNA. RefSeq lists it as uncharacterized. Lineage: Eukaryota; Metazoa; Chordata; Actinopteri; Characiformes; Acestrorhamphidae. The record is from RefSeq and is a predicted model, not a curated record. The transcript is spliced from 4 exons.